Molecule: ribosomal RNA, 329 nt
Filed under: uncultured eukaryote
Lineage: Eukaryota
Description: partial 18S ribosomal RNA
Rfam family: Eukaryotic small subunit ribosomal RNA
Source: RNAcentral
CCCUUAGAUGUUCUGGGCCGCACGCGCGCUACACUGAUGCAUUCAACGAGUCUAAAACCUGCUCUGAUAGGGGUGGGUAAUCUUUUGAAUGUGCAUCGUGAUUGGGAUAGAUGAUUGCAAUUUUUCAUCUUCAACGAGGAAUGCCUAGUAAACGCAAGUCGUCAGCUUGCAUUGAUUACGUCCCUGCCCUUUGUACACACCGCCCGUCGCUCCUACCGAUUGAAUGAUCCGAUGAAUAUCAUGGAUUGAGGAUGCAAGUAGGUUAGCCUAUCUUCAUCUUCGAGAAGUGAAGUAAAUCUUAUCAUUUAGAGGAAGGAGAAGUCGUAACA